This 64-nucleotide transfer RNA is filed under the name Anopheles costai. Its description in RNAcentral is "tRNA-Cys". RNAcentral also lists the same sequence under 1 other name. Lineage: Eukaryota; Metazoa; Arthropoda; Insecta; Diptera; Culicidae. The record is from RNAcentral.
AGCUUUAUAGUCAAUAAUGAUAUUAGACUGCAAUUCUAAAGGAAUAAAUAUUUUAUUAAAGCUU